UCGAGUGGGGGAGGGCAAGGGCGUACACUCAUGGAUGCAAUGCAGAAGAAGUAGUGAUGUGUCGAGAGCGAUAUCAAUCUGCUUUUCCAAUGAGCCUCCGGUGUUACAGCUUAACCAAAAGUGCAUUCCAUUGAGUAAGAGGAGGGAAAGUCACCUUCAGAGUUGCAUGACUACUGCGUCACUAUUUUGGCAUGACCAGUGGGGUCAUGUCCGAGGACUGUUGAAUGACUUUGAUAGGCCGUGUGCACCCUCCUGUGAUACAAAAUCCUUGCUUGUACCGUACUUGUUGAUCCCGGGGCUGCUGAGGCUACAUGAAUCAACAGCCC
Long non-coding RNA from Gasterosteus aculeatus aculeatus (three-spined stickleback), 326 nucleotides. The record is from Ensembl. NCBI's taxonomy places the organism in Eukaryota, Metazoa, Chordata, Actinopteri, Perciformes, Gasterosteidae.